Molecule: non-coding RNA, 470 nt
Organism: Pelobates cultripes (western spadefoot toad)
Lineage: Eukaryota; Metazoa; Chordata; Amphibia; Anura; Pelobatidae
Source: the annotation of a GenBank genome assembly
CAAAACGUGAGGCCCUAACUAUAAACUCGAUAGGUGGGUGAAUGCGAGGCUCUAACUAUGAUUUGGGCCGAAAAUCUCUGUGUUGAGAUUGGGGAGUUGGCCUCGCGGGACCAGCUAUGUUGUACAGUUAAGGCCAGCUCCUAACCCUAGAUAGCCAGUUCUCUGACCCUAGAUGGGGGCUUAAUAAGGGGGUAACGUAACGUGCUGGGUAUGCCCAAGUUGUGGUUUAUGAUAGGUACCUGGAGAUUCCCAGUCGGAGAAAGAGAAAAAGAAGGGAGGGAAAGGAGGAAAGAAACUGUGGUCGAGGGAAAGAGAAUUAUAUGGAGUAUAGUGCAGUUCUUGGAGAUAUAGCGGAUAGUAUAGUAUCCUUAGACCCUGAGGGUGCUGAAGAUUCUAGUGAUGGCUUCUAUAUAUCCCUGAAGGGAGAUGUAGGAAGGCGUUGUGCCAAGAAAGCGUGAUAGUACCUGCAG